CUGGAACCGUGGUGGACGGUAAAUGCCAGAUACACGGAACACCGGUGCGAAGCGACGCACUGGCCAUGUACUGACACUGAGCGCGAAACGUGGGGAGCAAACGGGAUUAGAUACCCCGGUAGUCCACGCUGUAAACGAUCGAACUAGGAGAGGUGUCCUAGACACUCUUUCCCCAAGGGAAACCGAUAAGUUCGCCGCCUGGGGAGUAUGCUCGCAAGGGUAAAACUCAAAGGAAUUGACGGGGGCUCACACAACGGUGGAGCAUGUGGUUUAAUUCGAAGCAACGCGAAGAACCUUACCCAGGCCCUAGACAUCAGGAUGUAACCCGGUGAAAGCCGGGCCAACCCGCAAGGAAACCUGUGCAGGUGUUGCAUGGCUGCGUCAGCUCGUGCGUGAGAUGCGGGUUAAGUCCCAUAACGAGCGAAACCCUUGCCGCCAGUUGCCAGCGCGUAAUGCGGGGACUCUGCGGGACUGCCUCGUAAGACGGAGGAAGGUGGGGACGACGUCAAGUCAUCAUGGCCUUUAUGGCCUGGGCUACACACGUGCUACAAUGGGCCGUAACAAAGGGAUGCUAAGUCGCGAGAUGGUGCGAAACCUAUAAAGCCGAUCUCAGUUCAGAUUGGAGGCUGAAACUCGCCUCCAUGAAGUUGGAAUCGCUAGUAAUCGCGGAUCACGUACGCCGCGGUGAAUAUGUUCCCGAGCCUUGUACACACCGCCCGUCAAGCCACCCAAGCAAGAUGCACCCAAAAUCGCCUGCCUACCCGUAAGGGAGGGAAGUGCCUAAGGUGUGUUUUGUGAGGAGGACUAAGUCGUAACGGGUAGGUCGUAGGGAGACUCUGCGGCUGGGUCGCCUCCUUUCUG
This 861-nucleotide ribosomal RNA is filed under the name uncultured bacterium. RNAcentral's name for it is "bacterial SSU rRNA". It matches the Rfam family "Bacterial small subunit ribosomal RNA", at positions 661 to 1533 of the family's 1533-position model. The record is from RNAcentral.